UACGUAGGGUCCGAGCGUUGUCCGGAAUUAUUGGGCGUAAAGAGCUCGUAGGCGGUGUGUCACGUCGGCCGUGAAAACCUGCAGCUUAACUGUGGGCGUGCGGUCGAUACGGGCAUCACUGGAGUUCGGCAGGGGAGACUGGAAUUCCUGGUGUAGCGGUGAAAUGCGCAGAUAUCGUAAGGAACGCCAGUGGCGAAAGCGAAUCUCUGGGCAGCAACUGACGCUGAGGCACGAAGGCCAGGGGAGCAAACGGG
Molecule: ribosomal RNA, 254 nt
Filed under: uncultured bacterium
Lineage: Bacteria
Description: partial 16S ribosomal RNA
Rfam family: Bacterial small subunit ribosomal RNA
Source: RNAcentral